This 1419-nucleotide ribosomal RNA is filed under the name Lactobacillus sp. Its description in RNAcentral is "bacterial SSU rRNA". It matches the Rfam family "Bacterial small subunit ribosomal RNA", at positions 57 to 1434 of the family's 1533-position model. Lineage: Bacteria; Bacillati; Bacillota; Bacilli; Lactobacillales; Lactobacillaceae. The record is from RNAcentral.
GCAGUCGAACGCGUUGGUCCAAUUGAUUGAUGGUGCUUGCACCUGAUUGAUUUUGGUCGCCAACGAGUGGCGGACGGGUGAGUAACACGUAGGUAACCUGCCCAGAAGCGGGGGACAACAUUUGGAAACAGAUGCUAAUACCGCAUAACAGCGUUGUUCGCAUGAACAACGCUUAAAAGAUGGCUUCUCGCUAUCACUUCUGGAUGGACCUGCGGUGCAUUAGCUUGUUGGUGGGGUAACGGCCUACCAAGGCGAUGAUGCAUAGCCGAGUUGAGAGACUGAUCGGCCACAAUGGGACUGAGACACGGCCCAUACUCCUACGGGAGGCAGCAGUAGGGAAUCUUCCACAAUGGGCGCAAGCCUGAUGGAGCAACACCGCGUGAGUGAAGAAGGGUUUCGGCUCGUAAAGCUCUGUUGUUAAAGAAGAACACGUAUGAGAGUAACUGUUCAUACGUUGACGGUAUUUAACCAGAAAGUCACGGCUAACUACGUGCCAGCAGCCGCGGUAAUACGUAGGUGGCAAGCGUUAUCCGGAUUUAUUGGGCGUAAAGAGAGUGCAGGCGGUUUUCUAAGUCUGAUGUGAAAGCCUUCGGCUUAACCGGAGAAGUGCAUCGGAAACUGGAUAACUUGAGUGCAGAAGAGGGUAGUGGAACUCCAUGUGUAGCGGUGGAAUGCGUAGAUAUAUGGAAGAACACCAGUGGCGAAGGCGGCUACCUGGUCUGCAACUGACGCUGAGACUCGAAAGCAUGGGUAGCGAACAGGAUUAGAUACCCUGGUAGUCCAUGCCGUAAACGAUGAGUGCUAGGUGUUGGAGGGUUUCCGCCCUUCAGUGCCGGAGCUAACGCAUUAAGCACUCCGCCUGGGGAGUACGACCGCAAGGUUGAAACUCAAAGGAAUUGACGGGGGCCCGCACAAGCGGUGGAGCAUGUGGUUUAAUUCGAAGCUACGCGAAGAACCUUACCAGGUCUUGACAUCUUGCGCCAACCCUAGAGAUAGGGCGUUUCCUUCGGGAACGCAAUGACAGGUGGUGCAUGGUCGUCGUCAGCUCGUGUCGUGAGAUGUUGGGUUAAGUCCCGCAACGAGCGCAACCCUUGUUACUAGUUGCCAGCAUUAAGUUGGGCACUCUAGUGAGACUGCCGGUGACAAACCGGAGGAAGGUGGGGACGACGUCAGAUCAUCAUGCCCCUUAUGACCUGGGCUACACACGUGCUACAAUGGACGGUACAACGAGUCGCGAACUCGCGAGGGCAAGCAAAUCUCUUAAAACCGUUCUCAGUUCGGACUGCAGGCUGCAACUCGCCUGCACGAAGUCGGAAUCGCUAGUAAUCGCGGAUCAGCAUGCCGCGGUGAAUACGUUCCCGGGCCUUGUACACACCGCCCGUCACACCAUGAGAGUUUGUAACACCCAAAGUCGGUGGG